RNAcentral lists this ribosomal RNA (255 nucleotides) under Enterococcus faecium. RNAcentral describes it as "partial 23S ribosomal RNA". It matches the Rfam family "Bacterial large subunit ribosomal RNA", at positions 2084 to 2338 of the family's 2925-position model. Lineage: Bacteria; Bacillati; Bacillota; Bacilli; Lactobacillales; Enterococcaceae. The record is from RNAcentral.
AAAGACCCCAUGGAGCUUUACUGUAGUUUGAUAUUGAGUGUCUGUACCGCAUGUACAGGAUAGGUAGGAGCCGUAGAAAUCGGAACGCUAGUUUCGAUGGAGGCGCUGGUGGGAUACUACCCCUGCGCUAUGGCCACUCUAACCCGCACCACUAAUCGUGGUGGGAGACAGUGUCAGAUGGGCAGUUUGACUGGGGCGGUCGCCUCCUAAAAGGUAACGGAGGCGCCCAAAGGUUCCCUCAGAAUGGUUGGAAAU